This 224-nucleotide long non-coding RNA is filed under the name Elaeis guineensis (African oil palm). Its description in RNAcentral is "long non-coding RNA (EGUI_LNC002624)". The record is from RNAcentral. Lineage: Eukaryota; Viridiplantae; Streptophyta; Magnoliopsida; Arecales; Arecaceae.
UGUUCCCAAUUGCUCGAAGGAGUAGAUUGAUUCUCAUGGGAGGCUGGAGAAUGAGACUCUCACACUCUUCUUGAGAGUCACUGGAAAGGCAAGGCAUAAGAGGGAAUCAGAUGUGCCCUAUAGCAUGAUGAGGACUUUGUAACCCUCUAGAUAAUCGAGCAGAUCAGUCAAGCCAUUGUAUGGCUCGACUUGCAGCAUCUUGAACGGAUAUGGGAUCGGUUCGC